This 70-nucleotide transfer RNA is filed under the name Fukomys damarensis (Damara mole-rat). It matches the Rfam family "tRNA". Rfam says of the family: Transfer RNA (tRNA) molecules are approximately 80 nucleotides in length. Their secondary structure includes four short double-helical elements and three loops (D, anti-codon, and T loops). Lineage: Eukaryota; Metazoa; Chordata; Mammalia; Rodentia; Bathyergidae. The record is from Rfam by way of RNAcentral.
GGAUGUAUGUCAGAGGUAGAAUUCUUGCCUAGUAUGCAUGAGACCCUGGGUUCAAUCCCUAGUACCACCA